RNAcentral lists this non-coding RNA (144 nucleotides) under Dermabacter sp. Its description in RNAcentral is "FMN sequence". It matches the Rfam family "FMN riboswitch aptamer (RFN element)". Rfam says of the family: The RFN element is a highly conserved domain that is found frequently in the 5'-untranslated regions of prokaryotic mRNAs that encode for flavin mononucleotide (FMN) biosynthesis and transport proteins. The record is from RNAcentral. Lineage: Bacteria; Bacillati; Actinomycetota; Actinomycetes; Micrococcales; Dermabacteraceae. RNAcentral also lists the same sequence under 1 other name.
CGCAUGUUCCGGGAACUCGGUGCAAUUCCGAACUGGCGGUGAAAGCCCGCUAACCCGGGCGCGUUUCACUCCGUGGGGCGAGCCUUGGGCCUGACCGGUGGAAUUCCGGUGCCGACAGUACAGUCUGGAUGGGAGGUUCAUGCG